GACGAACGCUGGCGGCGUGCUUAACACAUGCAAGUCGAACGCUGAAGACCUGGCUUUUGUUGGGUUGGAUGAGUGGCGAACGGGUGAGUAACACGUGAGUAACCUGCCCUCUUCUUUGGGAUAACGCCCGGAAACGGGUGCUAAUACUGGAUAUUCACUGAUCUUCGCAUGGGGGUUGGUGGAAAGGUUUGUUCUGGUGGGGGAUGGGCUCGCGGCCUAUCAGCUUGUUGGUGGGGUGAUGGCCUACCAAGGCUUUGACGGGUAGCCGGCCUGGGAGGGUGACCGGUCACAUUGGGACUGGGAUACGGCCCAGACGCCUACGGGAGGCAGCAGUGGGGAAUAUUGCACAAUGGGCGAAAGCAUGAUGCAGCGACGCCGCGUGAGGGAUGGAGGCCUUCGGGUUGUAAACCUCUUUCGCUCAUGGUCAAGCCGCAACUGUGGGUUGUGGUGAGGGUAGUGGGUAAAGAAGCGCCGGCUAACUACGUG
Molecule: ribosomal RNA, 486 nt
Filed under: uncultured bacterium
Lineage: Bacteria
Description: partial 16S ribosomal RNA
Rfam family: Bacterial small subunit ribosomal RNA
Source: RNAcentral